GUUGCCCUCCCAUCAUGCCAUCUUCCCCAAUUAUCUAUUAACAUCCAGGGCUGUGCAUAUGCUCUCAGAGGUUCUCUCGCAGCUUCUAGGAAAGGCGUACAAGCACACAGCGGGGCUCUGGGAACACAGUAAUGUAGGCUACUGCAAACUACCCUGGAUAAAUCUAGAACACGGAUCACUGACAGGCAGUGAAUAACUGGCCCUUUGUCGCAAGGAAAACAUUUCUGAAAAGUCUUUAAAAAAAACGAAGAUAAUCACAAAGUGGAGGAAGUAAAAAAGUGGUGGUCGCUUAGAGACUUAUAGGAGACCAGUUUCCCAUCUUGGACAGGUACCAAAAUAAGAACCCCAACCUUGACUGUGAAGGACAGCUUGGUCAGGAAGGAUUUGUAUACUAUACUGUAUAAAACUGUAUGAGCAAAAGAGACAAAAACAGAAAAACAACUGUACUGUAGAUUAUAAGGAUAUUCAAAUUCACAUUUUCCAUGACAUAUAAAAGGCAUGAUACCCAACUCGAA
This is a long non-coding RNA of Pseudophryne corroboree (corroboree frog), 515 nucleotides long. RefSeq lists it as uncharacterized. The record is from RefSeq and is a predicted model, not a curated record. NCBI's taxonomy places the organism in Eukaryota, Metazoa, Chordata, Amphibia, Anura, Myobatrachidae. The transcript is spliced from 3 exons.